UGUAUUUUUUUUUAUACCCCCGCUUUAAAAAAGGGGGGUAUACUGUUUUACCUCUGUCUGUCAGUCCGUCCGUCCAUCAGUCCGUCAGUCAGUCCGUCAGUCAGUCCGUCAGUCAGUCCGUCAGUCAGUCCGUCCCAUGAAACUUUCGUCACAUUUUUCUCAGGAACUACACAUCCACCCUUUCUGUAAUUUGGUAUCAACAUUUAUAUAUGUCAGCCAUACCG
RNAcentral lists this long non-coding RNA (224 nucleotides) under Mytilus galloprovincialis (Mediterranean mussel). Lineage: Eukaryota; Metazoa; Mollusca; Bivalvia; Mytilida; Mytilidae. The record is from RNAcentral.